GGGGACGUGGUGCAGCCCGGUUAGCACGCCGGUCUGUCACACCGGUGGCCGCGGGUUCAAAUCCCGUCGUCCCCGCCA
Molecule: transfer RNA, 78 nt
Filed under: Fervidobacterium thailandense
Lineage: Bacteria; Thermotogati; Thermotogota; Thermotogae; Thermotogales; Fervidobacteriaceae
Also listed under: 1 other name
Description: tRNA-Asp
Rfam family: tRNA
About the family: Transfer RNA (tRNA) molecules are approximately 80 nucleotides in length.
Source: RNAcentral